AUGACGGCCUUCAGCAGUAGGGUUGGCCUGAAGCCAUCCCCCUAUAGAAUUAUGUGGAAAGCCGUAUUCGAUGAAAGUCGUAUGUAUGGCUUGGAGGGAGAUCUUUUCUAUCUUUCGAGAUCCACCCUACAAUAUGGGGUCAAAAAGCCAAAAAAAUAA
This 159-nucleotide ribosomal RNA is filed under the name Triticum aestivum (bread wheat). Lineage: Eukaryota; Viridiplantae; Streptophyta; Magnoliopsida; Poales; Poaceae. The record is from RNAcentral.